RNAcentral lists this ribosomal RNA (460 nucleotides) under uncultured bacterium. RNAcentral's name for it is "partial 16S ribosomal RNA". It matches the Rfam family "Bacterial small subunit ribosomal RNA", at positions 338 to 795 of the family's 1533-position model. The record is from RNAcentral.
CCUACGGGUGGCUGCAGUGAGGAAUAUUGGUCAAUGGGCGGGAGCCUGAACCAGCCAAGUCGCGUGAGGGAAGACGGUCCUAUGGAUUGUAAACCUCUUUAGGCGGGGAGCAAUGCCGGGCACGCGUGCCCGGACUGAGAGUACCUGAAGAAAAAGCAUCGGCUAACUCCGUGCCAGCAGCCGCGGUAAUACGGAGGAUGCGAGCGUUAUCCGGAUUUAUUGGGUUUAAAGGGUGCGUAGGCGGAAUGCCAAGUCAGCGGUAAAAUCGCGGGGCUCAACCUCGCUCCGCCGUUGAAACUGGCGUUCUUGAGUGGGCGAGAAGUAUGCGGAAUGCGUGGUGUAGCGGUGAAAUGCAUAGAUAUCACGCAGAACUCCGAUUGCGAAGGCAGCAUACCGGCGCCCAACUGACGCUGAAGCACGAAAGCGUGGGUAUCGAACAGGAUUAGAUACCCUAGUAGUC